Molecule: long non-coding RNA, 199 nt
Organism: Herpailurus yagouaroundi (jaguarundi)
Lineage: Eukaryota; Metazoa; Chordata; Mammalia; Carnivora; Felidae
Exons: 3
Source: RefSeq, a predicted model, not a curated record
GUUUGCUUCUUUUUUUUUUUUAAAUAUAAUUUAUUGUCAAGCUGGCCAACAUAUAGUGUAUACAGUGUGCUCUUGGCUUUGGGAGUAGAUUCCCGUGACUCAUCGCUUACAUGCAACACGCAGUGCCCGUCCCAACAAGUGCCCUCCUCAAUGCCCAUCACCCACUUUCCCCUCCCCCCCCCACUUUGAUCCACCCUGA